This 557-nucleotide ribosomal RNA is filed under the name uncultured bacterium. RNAcentral's name for it is "bacterial SSU rRNA". It matches the Rfam family "Bacterial small subunit ribosomal RNA", at positions 119 to 674 of the family's 1533-position model. The record is from RNAcentral.
AGGAAUCUGCCCUGAAGUGGGGGGUAACUCGAGGAAACUCGAGCUAAUACCGCAUAAUAUCUGAGGAUUAAAGCUGACACGCAAGUGCUGGCGCUUCGGGAGGAGCCUGCGUCUGAUUAGCUAGUUGGUAGGGUAAAGGCCUACCAAGGCGACGAUCAGUAGGUGGUCUGAGAGGAUGAUCACCCACACUGGGACUGAGACACGGCCCAGACUCCUACGGGAGGCAGCAGUGGGGAAUAUUGGACAAUGGGGGGAACCCUGAUCCAGCAAUGCCGCGUGUGUGAAGAAGGCCUUAGGGUUGUAAAGCACUUUAGGCGGGGAAGAAGGUAUGUAGUUUAAGAGAUGACAUAUUUGACGGUACCCGCAGAAUAAGCACCGGCUAACUCUGUGCCAGCAGCCGCGGUAAUACAGAGGGUGCAAGCGUUAAUCGGAAUUACUGGGCGUAAAGGGCGCGUAGGUGGUUACGUAAGUGAGAUGUGAAAUCCCCGGGCUUAACCUGGGAACUGCAUCUUAUACUGCGUAGCUGGAGUACAUGAGAGGGUAGUGGAAUUUCCGGU